GGGCCCUUAGCUCAGCCGGUAGAGCACCUGACUCUUAAUCAGGGGGUCGCGGGUUCGAAUCCCGUAGGGCCCGCCA
RNAcentral lists this transfer RNA (76 nucleotides) under uncultured archaeon. RNAcentral describes it as "tRNA-Lys(ctt)". It matches the Rfam family "tRNA". Rfam says of the family: Transfer RNA (tRNA) molecules are approximately 80 nucleotides in length. Their secondary structure includes four short double-helical elements and three loops (D, anti-codon, and T loops). Further hydrogen bonds mediate the characteristic L-shaped molecular structure. tRNAs have two regions of fundamental functional importance: the anti-codon, which is responsible for specific mRNA codon recognition, and the 3' end, to which the tRNAs corresponding amino acid is attached (by aminoacyl-tRNA synthetases). tRNAs cope with the degeneracy of the genetic code in two manners: having more than one tRNA (with a specific anti-codon) for a particular amino acid; and 'wobble' base-pairing, i.e. permitting non-standard base-pairing at the 3rd anti-codon position. The record is from RNAcentral.